UGUCUCUACUGCAGAAGCGCACACAAGCACUCUCAGGGUCCCGGUCCACCCAGCCGCCUGCCCCUUUGCCGGCCUUGCCGUUCUUUUCCCCUUGUUUUGUGUUUGGAGUCCAAAUGUGGAGAUCAUCUCCCCUUAGACGAUCCAGGGCGGGGCGCCAGGAACCCUGAGGAGCAUUCGGCUGCUGUCAUCUUGUCGCCAGUUCGGUCGCCAAAUGGCAGAGGAGAAUAAGCAUCCAAGGAGGACGUCCAUCACAGCACAAAAAAGAGAAUAAGCAUUACCAGUAAGAUUCCAAAGAGAAUGAUGAUUGCACACCACUGACGACGGUCUGGAAGGAAUCCUGGAUUUGGAAGACUUAAGCUAUCUCCAGCUGACUGCUGAGGGAAUUUUAGCCUUGUAAGGAAAAGUCAGUUUUCAUUAUCCCAUAUGGAGCAGCACACAUCAUGACCUCGAUCGGCCUGGCUGGUGCCUGACAUUGGUACAACAAUCAAGCUGGUAGCCAAGCUGGGGAGUCUGUAGCUUUCUGGAUUAUGGGCGGACAUCCACAGGCAGGCCUCAAGUACAAGCAAAAGUCCCCUCUCCUACCUGAGGGAAAAAUGGGUACUUUCUGAAGAACUCUUCAAUUAGAGGAUGGAUACUUCAAACACACAAAAGUAGAUUGGCUCUCCUUUCCUUGUACCUACCGCUGGUCAUGUGAGAUACUUUCGCAAGUUUCUUCAUCACGUUGUCAAGCCGAGACUGAGUACUGUCCAACUCGUGAGAGAAGUCAUCUAACAUCCUGGAAAAACAGGCAGACAGCUAAACUAACAGCUCCCCACCGAUGCGCUGUGACAUGUUCUUCAGCACCCCAAUGCUGCCAGAGACCAGCUCCAACUGCUCAUCCUGCUGCUCCACAAUCAACUGGUGCCAAAGCAAAGGGAAACAAGCAAUUAAAACCCCUUCUACCUGGGCCGGAGCCCAGCACUCCAGCAGCUAAUGGCUCAUCUGCCAACUCCCAUCUUCGGAGUUCGAAAGCAAAAUCCAGAAGCAAAGAGUAGAGCCUGGACAUGUUUCUCCUAGAAAGGCACUGCUCCAAAAACUGCCUUCACUAGGAACUGGAGCCCACAGAUCCCUUGUUCAUACCAGCUGGCAUACCUACCCCCACUGCUAACCAGAGACUGGUACAGCUACAGGAGAAGUUAAAGCCUGCACAGAUGAACUUGACAUCUGAUCCUUCAUUUCCUGUUGAUUGAGAGGAAGAACAAGGGGAGGAAAACAUUUUAUAUAAAACAUAUGAAUGUCAUUUAACAUAAUAUAUAAAAGCAAAAGCACUGACAACUAAUUCUGUGACAGCUCUUUAAAUUCAACAGUGAAAUUUGGUGCAGAGCUUUAAGCAGAUAUGUGCUAAAACCAUGCUGUUGUCUACCACUAAAGAUUCUUGCUGUUUUACUGUGAUGUCUGCUUUACACAAUCUGCUGUCUAAGAUGUUUCCCAAGACUUAAUUUCUUAGCUCUGAAAAGUAGUGGUUAUGACAUAUGACAGUGUGAAAAAGGGUGUCAUUCAAAAAAUCUGAAAGUUUACUGUUGGAGAUUUGAUUAUAAUUCAGUGCUUUAUGGCCACCUAAAAUGAAAAAAUAGACAUGGAAAUGCCUUCCUUUUCAAUAAAGAUAUUAAAGCAUUUUA
Ornithorhynchus anatinus (platypus) is the source of this 1658-nucleotide long non-coding RNA. RefSeq lists it as uncharacterized. The record is from RefSeq and is a predicted model, not a curated record. The transcript is spliced from 9 exons. Lineage: Eukaryota; Metazoa; Chordata; Mammalia; Monotremata; Ornithorhynchidae.